AGUGGAGCCUGCGGCUUAAUUUGACUCAACACGGGGAAACUCACCAGGUCCAGACAUAGUAAGGAUUGACAGAUUGAGAGCUCUUUCUUGAUUCUAUGGGUGGUGGUGCAUGGCCGUUCUUAGUUGGUGGAGUGAUUUGUCUGGUUAAUUCCGAUAACGAACGAGACCUUAACCUGCUAAAUAGUUGCGUCAACUCUGGUUGAUGUUACAACUUCUUAGAGGGACUAUGGAUGUUUAAUCCAUGGAAGUUUGAGGCAAUAACAGGUCUGUGAUGCCCUUAGAUGUCCUGGGCCGCACGCGCGCUACACUGAUGAAGGCAGCAAGUUUUUUUCCUUGGCCGGAAGGUCUGGGUAAUCUUGUGAAACUUUAUCGUGCUGGGGAUAGUCCUUUGCAAUUAUUGGACUUCAACGAGGAAUUCCUAGUAAGCGCGAGUCAUCAGCUCGCGUUGAUUACGUCCCUGCCCUUUGUACACACCGCCCGUCGCUACUACCGAUUGAAUGGCUUAGUGAGACCUCCGGAUUGGCGUCGUUCCGCUGGCAACAGCGUUACAAUGCCGAGAAGUUGGUCAAA
Molecule: ribosomal RNA, 570 nt
Filed under: Entophlyctis sp. JEL122
Lineage: Eukaryota; Fungi; Chytridiomycota; Chytridiomycetes; Chytridiales; Chytriomycetaceae
Description: SSU rRNA
Rfam family: Eukaryotic small subunit ribosomal RNA
Source: RNAcentral